Molecule: small nuclear RNA, 96 nt
Filed under: Heterocephalus glaber (naked mole-rat)
Lineage: Eukaryota; Metazoa; Chordata; Mammalia; Rodentia; Bathyergidae
Description: U2 spliceosomal RNA (ENSHGLG00100046355.1)
Rfam family: U2 spliceosomal RNA
About the family: U2 is a small nuclear RNA (snRNA) component of the spliceosome (involved in pre-mRNA splicing). Complementary binding between U2 snRNA (in an area lying towards the 5' end but 3' to hairpin I) and the branchpoint sequence (BPS) of the intron results the bulging out of an unpaired adenosine, on the BPS, which initiates a nucleophilic attack at the intronic 5' splice site, thus starting the first of two transesterification reactions that mediate splicing.
Source: RNAcentral
AUCACUUCUUGGCCUUUUGGCUAAGAUCAAGUGUAGUUCUUUUUUCCAAUGAAUUCAUAGUAUUAUUAGGAAAUAAAACAAACAAUUUCACAUUAU